GACGAACGCUGGCGGCGUGCUUAACACAUGCAAGUCGAACGGAAAGGCCCUGUUCUUGUGGGGUGCUCGAGUGCCGAACGCGUGAGUAUCACGUGAGUAGCCUGCCCUUUACUUUGGGAUAACUUCAGUAAACUGGAGCGAAUACCGGACAUGAGCUCCUUCUGCAUGGUGGGUGUGGGAAAGUUUCGGCGUUUGGGGAUGGACUCGCGGCUUAUCAGCUUGUUGGUGGGGUAGUGGCUUACCAAGGCUUUGACGGGUUGCCGGCCUGAGAGGGUGACCGGCCCCAUUGGGCCUGAGGUACGACCAAGACUGCUACGGGAGGCAGCAGUGGAGAAUAGUGCACGAUGGGCGGCAGCAGGAUGCAGGAACGCCGGAUGCGGGAUGACGGCCUUCGGGUUAUAACCCGCUUUCGCCUGUGACGCAGCGUGAGUGACGGUAAUGAGUAAAGAAGCACCGGCUAACUACGUG
Molecule: ribosomal RNA, 468 nt
Filed under: uncultured bacterium
Lineage: Bacteria
Description: partial 16S ribosomal RNA
Rfam family: Bacterial small subunit ribosomal RNA
Source: RNAcentral